This 250-nucleotide ribosomal RNA is filed under the name uncultured bacterium. Its description in RNAcentral is "partial 16S ribosomal RNA". It matches the Rfam family "Bacterial small subunit ribosomal RNA", at positions 524 to 773 of the family's 1533-position model. The record is from RNAcentral.
UACGAGGGGUGCAAGCGUUAAUCGGAAUCACUGGGCUUAAAGGGUCCGCAGGCGGAUCGGCAAGUAUCUUGUGAAAUACCACGGCUCAACCGUGGAAUUGCUGGAUAAACUGCCGAUCUUGAACACGACAGGGGCUACCAGAACUCUAGGUGGAGCGGUGAAAUGCGUAGAUAUCUAGAGGAAUGCCAGAGGCGAAGGCGGGUAGCUGGGUCGUUGUUGACGCUCAGGGACGAAAGCGUGGGUAGCGAAC